UCGUUCCUCACCAGCCGGCUUCUCCACCGCCCCUCAGCCCGCCCCGGUGGCCGUCACCCCCGGGCCGGGGAGCGGAAGCCGGGCGAGGCCGAGGGCUCGCGGGGCUGCAGAGUCACGGACAGCUCCCGACUCCCCGCUCCUAUCGGGGCUCCACUCGGUUCGGGGAACUUCACUUCUCCGAGUACUCCGAGCGCCCCUCCCAGUCCCACACGCACAGCACGUCCCCUACCUUGUCCUGAAUCAACUCAAAACAUUUACCUUCCAUGGUCAUUUUGACUUUGGGGAAGAGCCAGAAGUCACACGGGGCCAGGUCCAGUGAAUGAAAUAGCUAAUUCUCGUACCCACCUUGAGCCUCCGCCCUGCAAGCCUGAAUUGCACCAACAGUUUAUCUGG
Non-coding RNA from Heterocephalus glaber (naked mole-rat), 393 nucleotides. The record is from RefSeq and is a predicted model, not a curated record. NCBI's taxonomy places the organism in Eukaryota, Metazoa, Chordata, Mammalia, Rodentia, Bathyergidae.